GAUGAAGAACGCAGCGAAAUGCGAUAAGUAAUGUGAAUUGCAGAAUUCAGUGAAUCAUCGAAUCUUUGAACGCACAUUGCGCCCGCCAGUAUUCUGGCGGGCAUGCCUGUUCGAGCGUCAUUUCAACCUUCAAGCCCCCGGCUUGUGUUGGGGACCUGCGGCUGCCGCAGGCCCUGAAAAGCAGUGGCGGGCUCGCUGUCACACCGAGCGUAGUAGCAUACAUCUCGCUCUGGGCGUGCUGCGGGUUCCGGCCGUUAAACCACCUUCAUAACCCAAGGUUGACCUCGGAUCAGGUAGGAAGACCCGCUGAACUUAAGCAUAUCAAUAAGCGGAGGA
RNAcentral lists this unclassified non-coding RNA (336 nucleotides) under soil metagenome. Its description in RNAcentral is "partial contains 5.8S ribosomal RNA, internal transcribed spacer 2, and large subunit ribosomal RNA". The stretch from base 1 to 120 matches the Rfam family "5.8S ribosomal RNA", at positions 35 to 154 of the family's 154-position model. The record is from RNAcentral.